GGUUGUGGCUCAGUGGUAGAGCAUUUGCCUAACACUGGUAAGUCAUUGAGUUCGAUCCUCAGCACCA
This 67-nucleotide transfer RNA is filed under the name Marmota monax (woodchuck). RNAcentral describes it as "tRNA.Val". The record is from RNAcentral. Lineage: Eukaryota; Metazoa; Chordata; Mammalia; Rodentia; Sciuridae.